AUUGAACGCUGGCGGCAGGCUUAACACAUGCAAGUCGAGCGGGGUGAUGGUGGUUGCACUAUCACUUAGCGGCGGACGGGUGAGUAAUGCUUAGGAAUCUGCCUAUUAGUGGGGGACAACAUCUCGAAAGGGAUGCUAAUACCGCAUACGUCCUACGGGAGAAAGCAGGGGAUCACUUGUGACCUUGCGCUAAUAGAUGAGCCUAAGUCGGAUUAGCUAGUUGGUGGGGUAAAGGCCUACCAAGGCGACGAUCUGUAGCGGGUCUGAGAGGAUGAUCCGCCAGACUGGGACUGAGACACGGCCCAGACUCCUACGGGAGGCAGCAGUGGGGAAUAUUGGACAAUGGGGGGAACCCUGAUCCGGCCAUGCCGCGUGUGUGAAGAAGGCCUUAUGGUUGUAAAGCACUUUAAGCGAGGAGGAGGCUCUUUUGGUUAAUACCCAAGAUGAGUGGACGUUACUCGCAGAAUAAGCACCGGCUAACUCUGUGCCAGCAGCCGCCGUAA
RNAcentral lists this ribosomal RNA (503 nucleotides) under uncultured bacterium. RNAcentral describes it as "partial 16S ribosomal RNA". It matches the Rfam family "Bacterial small subunit ribosomal RNA", at positions 30 to 523 of the family's 1533-position model. The record is from RNAcentral.